GAUGAACGCUGGCGGCGUGCCUAAUACAUGCAAGUCGAGCGAACAGACGAGGAGCUUGCUCCUCUGACGUUAGCGGCGGACGGGGGAGUAACACGUGGAUAACCUACCUAUAAGACUGGGAUAACUUCGGGAAACCGGAGCUAAUACCGGAUAAUAUAUUGAACCGCAUGGUUCAAUAGUGAAAGACGGUUUUGCUGUCACUUAUAGAUGGAUCCGCGCCGCAUUAGCUAGUUGGUAAGGUAACGGCUUACCAAGGCGACGAUGCGUAGCCGACCUGAGAGGGUGAUCGGCCACACUGGAACUGAGACACGGUCCAGACUCCUACGGGAGGCAGCAGUAGGGAAUCUUCCGCAAUGGGCGAAAGCUUGACGGAGCAACGCCGCGUGAGUGAUGAAGAUCUUCGGAUCGUAAAACUCUGUUAUUAGGGAAGAACAAAUGUGUAAGUAACUAUGCACGUCUUGACGGUACCUAAUCAGAAAGCCACGGCUAACUACGUG
This 497-nucleotide ribosomal RNA is filed under the name uncultured bacterium. RNAcentral's name for it is "partial 16S ribosomal RNA". It matches the Rfam family "Bacterial small subunit ribosomal RNA", at positions 28 to 507 of the family's 1533-position model. The record is from RNAcentral.